GGUUAAGCGACUAAGCGUACACGGUGGAUGCCCUGGCAGUCAGAGGCGAUGAAGGACGUGCUAAUCUGCGAUAAGCGUCGGUAAGGUGAUAUGAACCGUUAUAACCGGCGAUUUCCGAAUGGGGAAACCCAGUGUGAUUCGUCACACUAUCAUUAACUGAAUCCAUAGGUUAAUGAGGCGAACCGGGGGAACUGAAACAUCUAAGUACCCCGAGGAAAAGAAAUCAACCGAGAUUCCCCCAGUAGCGGCGAGCGAACGGGGAGGAGCCCAGAGCCUGAAUCAGUGUGUGUGUUAGUGGAAGCGUCUGGAAAGGCGCGCGAUACAGGGUGACAGCCCCGUACACAAAAAUGCACAUGCUGUGAGCUCGAUGAGUAGGGCGGGACACGUGGUAUCCUGUCUGAAUAUGGGGG
This 410-nucleotide ribosomal RNA is filed under the name Escherichia coli. RNAcentral describes it as "partial 23S ribosomal RNA". It matches the Rfam family "Bacterial large subunit ribosomal RNA", at positions 1 to 450 of the family's 2925-position model. The record is from RNAcentral. Lineage: Bacteria; Pseudomonadati; Pseudomonadota; Gammaproteobacteria; Enterobacterales; Enterobacteriaceae.